UACGUAGGGUCCGAGCGUUUAAUCGGAAUUACUGGGCGUAAAGCGUGCGCAGGCGGUUUUGUAAGCCAGAUGUGAAAGCCCCGGGCUCAACCUGGGGAACUGCAUUUGGGGACUGCAAGGCUGGAGUGCGGCAGAGGAGACUGGAAUUCCUGGUGUAGCAGUGAAAUGCGUAGAUAUCAGGAGGAAUACCGAUGGCGAAGGCAGGUCUCUGGGCUGACACUGACGCUGAAGUGCGAAAGCUAGGGGAGCGAACGGG
This 256-nucleotide ribosomal RNA is filed under the name uncultured bacterium. Its description in RNAcentral is "partial 16S ribosomal RNA". It matches the Rfam family "Bacterial small subunit ribosomal RNA", at positions 524 to 776 of the family's 1533-position model. The record is from RNAcentral.